Molecule: ribosomal RNA, 506 nt
Filed under: uncultured bacterium
Lineage: Bacteria
Description: partial 16S ribosomal RNA
Rfam family: Bacterial small subunit ribosomal RNA
Source: RNAcentral
AGUGAACGCUGGCGGUAGGCCUAACACAUGCAAGUCGAACGGCAGCACAGAGGAGCUUGCUCCUUGGGUGGCGAGUGGCGGACGGGUGAGGAAUACAUCGGAAUCUACUCUGUCGUGGGGGAUAACGUAGGGAAACUUACGCCAAUACCGCAUACGACCUACGGGUGAAAGCAGGGGACCUUCGGGCCUUGCGCGAUUGAAUGAGCCGAUGUCGGAUUAGCUAGGUGGCGGGGUAAAGGCCCACCAAGGCGACGAUCCGUAGCUGGUCUGAGAGGAUGAUCAGCCACACUGGAACUGAGACACGGUCCAGACUCCUACGGGAGGCAGCAGUGGGGAAUAUUGGACAAUGGGCGCAAGCCUGAUCCAGCCAUACCGCGUGGGUGAAGAAGGCCUUCGGGUUGUAAAGCCCUUUUGUUGGGAAAGAAAUCCAGCUGGCUAAUACCCGGUUGGGAUGACGGUACCCAAAGAAUAAGCACCGGCUAACUUCGUGCCAGCAGCCGCGGUAA